AGAGUUUGAUCAUGGCUCAGGAUGAACGCUAGCGGCAGGCCUAAUACAUGCAAGUCGAACGGGGCAGCAAUGCCUAGUGGCGCACGGGUGCGUAACGCGUAUGCAACCUACCUUUCAGUGGGGGAUAGCCCGGGGAAACCCGGAUUAAUACCGCAUAAGAUAAUUGAAUGGCAUCGUUUAAUUAUGAAACAUUUAUGGCUGAAAGAUGGGCAUGCGUAAGAUUAGCUAGUUGGUGAGGUAGUAGCUCACCAAGGCAAUGAUCUUUAGGGGUUCUGAGAGGAAGAUCCCCCACACUGGUACUGAGAUACGGACCAGACUCCUACGGGAGGCAGCAGUAGGGAAUAUUGGGCAAUGGAGGCAACUCUGACCCAGCCAUGCCGCGUGCAGGAAGAAGGCCUUCUGGGUUGUAAACUGCUUUUGGAAGGGAACAAAACGGGCAUGCGUGCCAACUUGAGUGUACCUUCAGAAUAAGCACCGGCUAACUCCGUGCCAGCAGCCGCGGUAAUACGGAGGGUGCAAGCGUUGUCCGGAUUUAUUGGGUUUAAAGGGUGCGUAGGCGGCUUAUUAAGUCAGGGGUGAAAGACUGCAGCUCAACUGUAGCAGUGCCUUUGAUACUGAUGAGCUUGAGUACAGAUGAGGCUGGCGGAAUGGGUGGUGUAGCGGUGAAAUGCAUAGAUACCAUCCAGAACACCGAUUGCGAGGGCAGCCGGCUAAACUGUAACUGACGCUGAGCACGAAAGCGUGGGGAUCGAACAGGAUUAGAUACCCUAGUAGUCC
This 777-nucleotide ribosomal RNA is filed under the name uncultured bacterium. Its description in RNAcentral is "bacterial SSU rRNA". It matches the Rfam family "Bacterial small subunit ribosomal RNA", at positions 8 to 796 of the family's 1533-position model. The record is from RNAcentral.